UGAGUCGGCCAGACGAUCGCUCGGCAGUUCGCUGCAGGGAGGAAAGUCCGGGCUCCGCAGGGCAAGGCGCCAGGUAACUCCUGGGAGGUGCGAGCCUACGGAAAGUGCAACAGAAAAUACACCGCCUACGUAGCGCAAGCUGCCGGUAAGGUUGAAAUGGUGCGGUAAGAGCGCACCGCGCGACUGGCAACAGUUCGUGGCAUGGUAAACCCCGCCUGGAGCAAGGCCAAAUAGGAAUCCAAUGCUGUGGCCCACAGUGGAUUCGGGUAGGCUGCUAGAGGUCUGCGGUGACGCAGAUCCCAGAUGAAUGGUCGUCCAAGACAGAACCCGGCUUAUCGGCCGACUCACUUU
This is a non-coding RNA of gamma proteobacterium BDW918, 351 nucleotides long. It matches the Rfam family "Bacterial RNase P class A". From Rfam's summary of the family: Ribonuclease P (RNase P) is a ubiquitous endoribonuclease, found in archaea, bacteria and eukarya as well as chloroplasts and mitochondria. Its best characterised activity is the generation of mature 5'-ends of tRNAs by cleaving the 5'-leader elements of precursor-tRNAs. The record is from Rfam. Lineage: Bacteria; Pseudomonadati; Pseudomonadota; Gammaproteobacteria; Cellvibrionales; Spongiibacteraceae.